This 510-nucleotide ribosomal RNA is filed under the name Lethe diana. RNAcentral's name for it is "partial 16S ribosomal RNA". Lineage: Eukaryota; Metazoa; Arthropoda; Insecta; Lepidoptera; Nymphalidae. The record is from RNAcentral.
GUCUUUUUGAAUAUAAUUUAAAGUUUAAUCUGCCCACUGAUAAAUAUUAAAGGGCUGCAGUAUAUUGACUGUACAAAGGUAGCAUAAUCAUUAGUUUUUUAAUUGAAAACUUGUAUGAAGGAUUUGAUGAAAUAUAAACUGUCUCUUAAUUAUUAUUAAAAAUUUAUUUUUUAGUUAAAAAGCUAAAAUAAUCUUAAAAGACGAGAAGACCCUAUAGAGUUUUAUAUUUUAUAUAGUAUUAAAAUUAUAUAAAAAUUAAAAUUAAUAUUAAAUAAAAUAUUGUAUUGGGGUGAUAGAAAAAUUAAAAUAACUUUUUUUAAAAAUUAACCAUAAAUAAAUGAAUAAAUGAUCCAUUAAUAAUGAUUAAAAGAAAAAAUUACCUUAGGGAUAACAGCGUAAUAUUUUUUUUUAGUUCAAAUAAAAAAAAAAGUUUGCGACCUCGAUGUUGGAUUAAGAUAAAAUUUAAAUGCAAAUGUUUAAAAUUUUGAUCUGUUCGAUCAUUAAAAUCUU